ACUCCGUUGGUGAACCAGCGGAGGGAUCAUUACCGAGUUUACAACUCCCAAACCCCUGUGAACAUACCAUUUGUUGCCUCGGCGGUGCCUGCUUCGGCAGCCCGCCAGAGGACCCAAACCCUUGAUUUUAUACAGUAUCUUCUGAGUAAAUGAUUAAAUAAAUCAAAACUUUCAACAACGGAUCUCUUGGUUCUG
RNAcentral lists this unclassified non-coding RNA (195 nucleotides) under plant metagenome. RNAcentral describes it as "partial contains small subunit ribosomal RNA, internal transcribed spacer 1, and 5.8S ribosomal RNA". The record is from RNAcentral.